CAGAUUUCACGGCCGAGUAAGAUUUUAUAUUCGUGAAACUUUCGUCGAUGCUCAUGUCAACCGCGUGCAACGUCACCUUGUCCGUGUCCUCCGUCACGUUUACCAAGAUUUUCACCUGGAAAUAUUAUUAUUUUUAUAACGAAAAAUUCCUCCGCCGUAAUUACAACAUGGAAUAAAUCCAAGAGGAGCUUUAAUAUAUCUCAAGAACUAUGAAUAAUUUCUUAUUCCAGAUUAAAGGUGUUGAAUUUGAAAUGAAAAUUUCAUUUUAUCAUCUUUCAUCGAAUAAAACAUUAAGAACUUCUCGGCGGAGCACAGUUGGAAAUCGUCUCGCUGUCACGAAAGAGAAACAAACAAGGAAUAUUUCAUACCUCGCCAUUGAACGUAAAGUUGCCAACUUGUAUGAACGGUAUGAGCUUAAGCUCGUAAGAGACCGGGGCUAUGGAUCGCGGCAAUCUGACGUCCAAUUUUUUCUUUCCAAACGUGUCGGUGGGAAAAGCACGGCUGGUCACCGAGUUGGAGACACCGUUGCACGAUUUGUCGAGCUUCUCCUCGAGGCAUGGGGCGAGAUGGUAAACCAAUAGUCCAGUGACAACCAGGGAUAUGAGGAAGGCAGCGCCCAAAAGGAAAGCGCCGCAAGGGGAGACUGUGCACCCUCUUUUACGUCCGAACGUUGUUGUGUGCGCGUCCAUCAUCGCCAAAACCUCCCGGGACUGGGUCAUAUCAUGUGUAAACC
Molecule: long non-coding RNA, 733 nt
Organism: Apis cerana (Asiatic honeybee)
Lineage: Eukaryota; Metazoa; Arthropoda; Insecta; Hymenoptera; Apidae
Source: RefSeq, a predicted model, not a curated record